Molecule: ribosomal RNA, 254 nt
Filed under: uncultured bacterium
Lineage: Bacteria
Description: partial 16S ribosomal RNA
Rfam family: Bacterial small subunit ribosomal RNA
Source: RNAcentral
GACGUAGGGGGCCAGCGUUGUUCGGAAUUACUGGGUGUAAAGGGUUCGUAGGCGGUGUGGCAAGUCGGGAGUGAAAUCGUCUGGGCUCAACUCAGAGACUGCUUCCGAAACUGCUGUGCUGGAGUGUGGGAGAGGCGCGUGGAAUUGCAGGUGUAGCGGUGAAAUGCGUAGAUAUCUGCAGGAACACCCGUGGCGAAAGCGGCGCGCUGGACCACUACUGACGCUGAGGAACGAAAGCUAGGGGAGCAAACAGG